GUUGAAUUUUCCUGAGGGAGGGGCCCCAGGAGAGUUUCGAGACUCAAAGAUGACGAUAUUAUCUGCAAUAUCAAGCACACAAUAAUCUUUGUGUUUUAGUGUUCUCGGAGCCACAGGAGAUUAAGUAAGGAGACUGGGGAGCAAUCUAGCGUUGGAUGGAUAUGAAAGGCAUCAUCUCUACCUCCUGAGGCUUGCAACACCUUCUCCCAUGUGCUGAAGAAACCCAUGUACAUGUAGGAGGACAC
This 245-nucleotide long non-coding RNA is filed under the name Anas platyrhynchos platyrhynchos (common mallard). RNAcentral describes it as "lncRNA (ENSAPLG00000025544.1)". The record is from RNAcentral. Lineage: Eukaryota; Metazoa; Chordata; Aves; Anseriformes; Anatidae.